This 75-nucleotide transfer RNA is filed under the name Enterococcus faecalis V583. Its description in RNAcentral is "tRNA-Trp-CCA-4-1". It matches the Rfam family "tRNA". Rfam says of the family: Transfer RNA (tRNA) molecules are approximately 80 nucleotides in length. Their secondary structure includes four short double-helical elements and three loops (D, anti-codon, and T loops). Lineage: Bacteria; Bacillati; Bacillota; Bacilli; Lactobacillales; Enterococcaceae. The record is from RNAcentral. RNAcentral also lists the same sequence under 1 other name.
UGGAGCAUAGAUUAAUUGGUAGAGCAGCGGUCUCCAAAACCAUCAGUAUAGGUUCAAUCCCCAUUGUUCGUAGCA